RNAcentral lists this small RNA (4729 nucleotides) under Pongo abelii (Sumatran orangutan). Its description in RNAcentral is "retained intron". The record is from RNAcentral. Lineage: Eukaryota; Metazoa; Chordata; Mammalia; Primates; Hominidae.
GCUUUUUGUGCUCUGUAUUGGGAAGGCAGAUAAAAUGCCAGGUCUGGACUGCCUCUGGGGAUAACCUCACCCUGUGGGAUGUGAAUGAAUAGCAUCUUGCCUGGUAAAUCCACAGGAAUUGAUAAGGCGGGCGCAGUUCUCCCAAACAGGCCUUUUCUCUUUAAGCUCUAGCUGUGGUUUCUGCAGCAAUUUUGUUUUUGCCUUGAAAGAGGUGCUCUGGAUUAUCAGACCUCCAUGUAUGACAAUUUGUACCUGCAUGGAAUUGAAGACUCGGAGGCUGAAGAAUAAUGUGAUGUGUUACCCAAGAUGGUGUGAACAGAGCUUCAAGCCAAUGGAGAAGACUAGGCCUAAAUAGCUGACCUGGUGAAGUGACACAUAAAGCCACACCUGGAGUGCCACCUCCUCAGCAGUCUUUCUCAGUGCCAAUGCAUUUAUGGCUGUAAGUGUGGGGGGUUGUCCAGAUGGAAGCAGAGCUCUCGGAACAGGUCUGGUGGAUAGGCGUGGAAAGGCUUUUCUCAGAUGGCCAGCUGCAGUCCGAGAAUAUACAGGCACUAAAAGCUGAGUACGGCACUUUGGUUGGGGGUGGGGGUUGGGGAACCAUCCGCAUAUGUCCUACUGUUCUGUGCUGUUGAAAAUGUCUUUGUGGGGUGUGUGGGGGUUAACCUGUGAUAAGUGAUUAUUUUCAAUGUUUUCACACAGUAAGCUUGUAAAAGAUCAUCUUGCCUAGGGACUAUUUUAUUCCGAAUAAGAAUAAAGCAUUAUUAUACACUGUUAGCACCUCACAUCCCCACAGUAGGAGAGAGAUGUUGGUACUGUGAUGCAAGGCCUUUCUUAAGAGUUUGGUCCAAAAGUAGAUGUUAUGCUCCCAGUGCCCUAGAUUUUAGUUUGUAACCUCCGUGUUUCACAUACUCUAUGUAUGAAGAGAGAGGAAAAAGAAACAUGCCGAAACACACUUGAGUCAGGCAUUUUAGAUUCUUGAGUCCUGUGGAGCCUUUUUGGGCAAGUCCAUCUACUUCUGCUUUGGUGUCCAGGAGGGUAGUUAAAAAUCUGGAUUACAAGGAAGUGCAAAAGAUCAUUCAGUGCCCCACAGCGGGGCCCUGCUUCCGAAUAGGAGAUUUCACACAGAACGUCACCUUACUUCUUGUAUUACCUUGACAUAGAUGAUGGAGUGUGUGCUUCCAGAUGAACUCAUACCUAGCCCAGGCUGGUUCCAGUCGAUCAUGCACAUCGACUCUUCCUACAUUAGCUGCUAUGUAAGAGCUGCCUAUUCUACCUUCACCGUCCCCACUGUGUGUUAAUACAAGUUCUAGCAGCCAAGAUUUUUUUCAUGGACUGAGCCCCCCAUGUACACUAUACUAUGUGUUUUCAUCUGAUUUGCAGUAGAUUUCAUUAGACCUGCUCUUUAGUGUGUACAUGUAUUCAUAAAUGGAUUCAUUGUGUAUUUUGAUGUUUGUGGAAUUAUUCUGGAAAUAGAUUUAUUUUUUCAUUCAUUAGGUUUAUUACACAAACCGAGGGAUGUUCUUAUGGGGAUCCAUGGACGCAGCAGAGAAAGUUACCACAAACCUACCACCCAGAAAUAGUCACUGUUAAUAUAUUGCUACACACCCUUUCAGAUGAUCAAUCCACAUAUAUGUAAAUAGGUCAGUCUCAACCUGCUACUGUGUGUUGCAUCCUAUUCUGUUAAAUGCUGUUCUUACUUGAGAAAAUAUUGAGCAUACUAGGACUAGAACUGGCCUGCACAGGAGACGCUUUGCAAAAUUUAAAGCUCCUACAUGGACCUUCUGGAAUUGUGAGUAGCUUGAAAUACAGAUUCUUAGGGUAUAUUGUAAAGUGAUGCCGGGGUUAGUUGCACAUAGGAUUAAUAGUUCAUUUCUCUGACACAAUUGUUUCCAUUUCCAAAUGCUUAAAUUCUAAAGCAUUUAGAAAGAGAGACCUGAUCUUUUCCUGUGAAAAAGAUGAUCAGAUCAUCAUUCAGGGCAAUUUCCAGAGAGGAAAAUAUAGUCUUUAAGUGUUUUCAAUCAUAGAAAGGAAUCCUAAUAUAUUGAUUAAUACUGUUAGAAAUUUUAUGUAUGUAAAAUUACAGCAAAGGUAAAUUUUACAAACUUAAUAGGUAUGUAUAACAAUAUCUGAGUAUAUAUAUAAAAGCACAUAUUUAAAUUUACAUGUAGAUAUGCAUUAUAAGAAUAGCUUUGUGUUAAACUAUUUAUUUUCUAUAAGCUGUGGAAAUAUGUAUGUUUGUCUCAAUGUCUGUGCACCUCUGCAUGCAUGCGUACUGUUCACCCUCAUACCUUUACCUACAUUCAUAUACAGAUAUGUUCCAUGCAUCGCUAAUUGAUGGUUAAUGCUAAGUGGGAGAUUUCUACUGUGGAGCUUUUGGAGACGGAAAAUUAGCUGCUUUUGAUGUGAACAAAGAUACCCAAGAGAGUUGAAAGGCAAAGCAGCCACAAGAGAAUAAAGGAUUGCUCCUUGCAAAGAUAUAAUAAAGUUAUUUUAAAUAUGAAGAUAUAUCCUUGUGCUUGCUAGGGAGGCAGAUAAACUUCAGACAGAAGGAUUUAUAUGUUUAGGGGCCUUCAGAAGACACUUUAGGGAUUUAGGGAUUAGAUUUCUUUUGGAAACAAGAAGGCCAGAGGUCUCUAUGGUUUGGUGGAUCAGAGCAUCUCUUCUGGAGUCAAAAAGUCUUUCUGGACUAUUUAUAGAGAAUGAGGACUGAUCUGUAAGAGAAUCCAAGGACUGGAUGUUGGCAUCUCUGACCACAGAAGAAAACCAAAUGUUGCUCCUGGUUUGUGUAAGGAAUUUGACUGAGAAAAAUCAAGUUGUUUUACUCAGCUGAGCUAUGUUGGUGUUUGGCUAGGGUGUGUUAAGUAAAUAACAAACAGGGCUUUCUCUUCAAUCAGCAAUGAUGGUUUUCUAAAAUAUAGAUUGAAAUUUUUUCUAGAUAUAAUUGGCAUGGAGCCAAAGAGAGAAAUUCCUUGAAUCAAUCAGAUCCCAUGAAUUUGCUGUUCCAGCUUGUCAAUCUUGCUGCUUUCUUGUUAAUUUUCUAUUUUUGAGUCACAGAGGCAAGAAGUCGGAUCAAUCCUCGCCAGGUACUUCUGUGUCUCCUUUUCUGCUGCUAUUAUUAUUAUUAUUAGAUUAUGAUGAGUCAAUCCAGGAUUUUAGAAUAUGGCCCUGUAACUCCCUUUGUAUGUACUCAAUGGACAUUCCAUUAUUCUGUGGCGCAAGACAUUCUGUAUAAGGGUCAGCAAUAACCUUGAAAAAUCAUUAUUUUAGGGUGAAGGUGGGGAGGCUUCCCAUUGCCUUAGCUCUUCUCUUUCUAUGGGGUUCAGCUUGGACCUUAUUUCUUUGUCAACAGUUCUCCCAUUCUGGUCACUAUCUCCCCUUUACUGUCUCUUACCCAGGUGAACAAGGCCUCCUAAGGAGGACAAGAAGAUAUAACUGGACUGGUUAUCAUUGUUCAUUCUCUUCUCGUCCCUCUCCCACUAGUCCUUUAAAAUAAUCAUGAAGCCAUGAACUCAGAUAUCCAUGACGUUAAGUUAAAAAUUGUACCAAGGAAGCGCUACAGAUAUAGGCUCUGUGUUCUCAUCUACAUUGGCUGAUUUAGGGGCCUUUCAUGUGUUUGCAUCAGGCUCUGGCGGCUGUGAAAACAGCAACAGCUGUAACCUGCCACACUAGAAAAAAUACAUUCAUUGGGUGGAUCCCCGAGUUCUCACAGGAGGCUGGGGCACUGCUGUGUAAAGCUAGCACCCCGUCCUCAGAAAAACUUAAUGUGUAAAACCUAAGGGAGCUUACAGUUCAUAUAAAAUAAUGACAACUUUGAGCUUUUUAAGACUUUGAAGGGCGUGAGUCUAAGAUAAAACUGUGUGACUAUUUUUACAGCAUGUAUUGGUAUGCCAAAAGAAGGUAGCCCAGAUAGCUCAUGUGACAAUUUUUGAGAUCUAAAUAGACCAAUACUUGCUCUUGCUCUACAUUUUAUAUUCUUUUAUAACAUAACUGUAUAGUUUUAGUUAUAAAUAUUUUCCUCUCUUUUUAAAUGGUGCCACAUUAUCAGUACUUCCUGUGUCCUUUUUUUUCUUUUGUGUCUGUCAUGAGAAAUAUUGAAAAGUCUUAUAUUUAAAACAGGACACGGAGAUUGGCAACUGUUGAUUACUCAGGAGCGUAUCUGUGUAGUUUGUGAAAAAAAAAAAAAACAGUUCUCUUAUUUUGCCUUUCUUAUGCCUGUUAUUCCUUAAUCUCUCUUUUCUUUUUAGCCUGAGCAUCAUAUAGGAAAAAGUUUCUGACCUUCUAUGUUAUUACUCUAUUGGCAGCUUUGUUGAAAAGUUUGGUGAGUGAUAAGGUUGUAGUUGAAAUUGUUUCUAGAUCUUUUUAAAUCUCCAUAAAACUUAAAAAAUUUUGCCUUCUAUUGGGCAUAUGUAUCAGCCAGGAAAAUUUCUGUUUUACUUUUUGUACUUUGUAUUAUGAAAAAAUGUUAUAGUAUAAUAGUGUCAUGAUUAAAAGUGGAGACAGACCAGGCAUGGUGGCUCACACCUGUAAUCUCAGCACUUUAGGAGGCACAGAUGGGCAGAUCAGUUGAGCUCAGGAGUUUGAGACCAGUCUGGGCAACAUGGCAAAACCCCAUCUUUACAAAAAAAUAAAAAUAAAAAAAAUUAGUGGGGCGUGGUGGCGUGUACCUGUAGUCCUAGCUACUCAGGAAGCUGAGGCAGGAGGAUCACUUGGGCCCAGGAGGUUGAGGCUU